Ornithorhynchus anatinus (platypus) is the source of this 138-nucleotide small nucleolar RNA. The record is from RefSeq and is a predicted model, not a curated record. NCBI's taxonomy places the organism in Eukaryota, Metazoa, Chordata, Mammalia, Monotremata, Ornithorhynchidae.
CCCCUCUCAGGGUCACACCUGGAGAGUUUCCAAUCCUCUGCCAGUCUAGACUAUGGGAGAGAGAGUCAAGCAGAGGCAGAUCCAUUCCAUUCCUAGCUUGAGCAGUGGCUAGUGAGUGGAAGGCCAUCUGCUCCAAGU